RNAcentral lists this ribosomal RNA (489 nucleotides) under uncultured bacterium. Its description in RNAcentral is "bacterial SSU rRNA". It matches the Rfam family "Bacterial small subunit ribosomal RNA", at positions 21 to 507 of the family's 1533-position model. The record is from RNAcentral.
GGCUCAGGAUGAACGCUAGCGGCAGGCUUAAUACAUGCAAGUCGUGGGGCAGCAUGAGUAGCAAUACUUGAUGGCGACCGGCAAACGGGUGAGGAACACGUACACAACCUUCCUUCAAGCGGGGAAUAGCCCAGAGAAAUUUGGAUUAAACCCCAUAAUAUAUUUGAUAAGGCAUCUUAUUAAUAUUAAAGCUUCGGCACUUGAUGAUGGGUGUGCGGCUGAUUAGAUAGUUGGCGGGGUAACGGCCCACCAAGUCUACGAUCAGUAGCUGAUGUGAGAGCAUGAUCAGCCACACGGGCACUGAGACACGGGCCCGACUCCUACGGGAGGCAGCAGUAAGGAAUAUUGGACAAUGGACGAAAGUCUGAUCCAGCCAUGCCGCGUGAAGGAUUAAGGUCCUCUGGAUUGUAAACUUCUUUAUAUGGGACGAAAAAGGGCAUUCUUGUUCACUUGACGGUACCAUAUGAAUAAGCACCGGCUAACUCCGUG